This 362-nucleotide transfer-messenger RNA is filed under the name Bacillus sp. OxB-1. It matches the Rfam family "transfer-messenger RNA". From Rfam's summary of the family: Bacterial tmRNA, also known as 10Sa RNA or SsrA, is named for its dual tRNA and mRNA-like properties. Its role is to liberate the mRNA from a stalled ribosome. Lineage: Bacteria; Bacillati; Bacillota; Bacilli; Caryophanales; Bacillaceae. RNAcentral also lists the same sequence under 1 other name. The record is from Rfam by way of RNAcentral.
GGGGACGUUACGGAUUCGACAGGGGUGGUCUGAGCUUGAGUUGCGCGUCGGAGGGCUCGGCUCCGUCAGAAACGGCAUUCUAUAAUAACAGGCAAAACAAACAACAACCUAGCAUUCGCAGCGUAAGCUGAUGAAUCUGCCUUGCAGUUCCAUCGCCCAUGUGGCAUUGUAAGGCUCACCUAUUAGUGGGAUACGACGACUGCCGCCUCCUGAGGCAGCCGGAAGAGACUACCAGGAUAGCGCCUCCGAGUCGCCCUGAUUGUCGGCAAACGGAAGCGCGAAACCCAAUAGACAAUCUACACGCGUAGAUGCUUGAGUGUUGGAGCCUCUGGACGCGGGUUCGACUCCCGCCGUCUCCAUAG